This 365-nucleotide ribosomal RNA is filed under the name unidentified archaeon. RNAcentral describes it as "bacterial SSU rRNA". It matches the Rfam family "Archaeal small subunit ribosomal RNA", at positions 90 to 457 of the family's 1478-position model. The record is from RNAcentral.
UCAGUAACACGUAGUCAAAUGCCCAGGGGACGUGGAUAACCUCGGGAAACUGAGGAUAAACCGCGAUAGGUCACUACUUCUGGAAUGGGUAAUGACCCAAACCUAUAUGGCCCCUGGAUUGGACUGCGGCCGAUCAGGCUGUUGGUGAGGUAAUGGCCCACCAAAGCCGUGUAACCGGUACGGGCUCUGAGAGGAGGAGCCCGGAGAUGGGCACUAAGACAAGGGCCCAGGCCCUAUGGGGCGCAGAGGCGCGAAACCUCUGCAAUAGGCGAAAGCUUGACAGGGUUACUCUGAGUGAUUUCCGUUAAGGAGAUCUUUUGGCACCUCUAAAAAUGGUGCAGAAUAAGGGGUGGGCAAGUCUGGUG